This 489-nucleotide ribosomal RNA is filed under the name uncultured bacterium. Its description in RNAcentral is "partial 16S ribosomal RNA". It matches the Rfam family "Bacterial small subunit ribosomal RNA", at positions 28 to 507 of the family's 1533-position model. The record is from RNAcentral.
GACGAACGCUGGCGGCGUGCUUAACACAUGCAAGUCGAACGGUGAAGGGAUCAGCUUGCUGGUUCUGGAUGAGUGGCGAACGGGUGAGUAACACGUGAGUAACCUGCCCCCUUCUUCUGGAUAACCGCAUGAAAGUGUGGCUAAUACGGGAUAUUCUGCGCCUGCUGCAUGGUGGGUGUGGGAAAGAUAUUGUUUCGGUGGGGGAUGGGCUCGCGGCCUAUCAGCUUGUUGGUGGGGUGAUGGCCUACCAAGGCGGUGACGGGUAGCCGGCCUGAGAGGGUGGACGGUCACACGGGGACUGAGACACGGCCCAGACUCCUACGGGAGGCAGCAGUGGGGAAUAUUGCACAAUGGGCGCAAGCCUGAUGCAGCGACGCCGCGUGAGGGAGGGAGGCCUUCGGGGUGUGAACCUCUUUCGCCAGUGAAGCAGGCCUGUCCCUUGUGGGUGGGUUGACGGUAGCUGGAGAAGAAGCGCCGGCUAACUACGUG